AAUAGAUACCCGGGUAGUCCACGCCGUAAACGAUGAGUGCUAAGUGUUAGGGGGUUUCCGCCCCUUAGUGCUGCAGCUAACGCAUUAAGCACUCCGCCUGGGGAGUACGGUCGCAAGAUUGAAACUCAAAGGAAUUGACGGGGGCCCGCACAAGCGAUGGAGCAUGUGGUUUAAUUCGAAGCAACGCGAAGAACCUUACCAGGUCUUGACAUCCCACUGACCGCUAUGGAGACAUAGUUUUCCCUUCGGGGACAGUGGUGACAGGUGGUGCAUGGUUGUCGUCAGCUCGUGUCGUGAGAUGUUGGGUUAAGUCCCGCAACGAGCGCAACCCUUGAUCUUAGUUGCCAUCAUUUAGUUGGGCACUCUAAGGUGACUGCCGGUGACAAACCGGAGGAAGGUGGGGAUGACGUCAAAUCAUCAUGCCCCUUAUGACCUGGGCUACACACGUGCUACAAUGGACGGUACAAACGGUUGCCAACCCGCGAGGGGGUAGCUAAUCCGGUAAAACCGUUCUCAGUUCGGAUUGUAGGCUGCAACUCGCCUAC
This 545-nucleotide ribosomal RNA is filed under the name uncultured bacterium. Its description in RNAcentral is "bacterial SSU rRNA". It matches the Rfam family "Bacterial small subunit ribosomal RNA", at positions 777 to 1319 of the family's 1533-position model. The record is from RNAcentral.